UGAGGAAUAUUGGUCAAUGGACGAGAGUCUGAACCAGCCAAGUAGCGUGCAGGAUGACGGCCCUAUGGGUUGUAAACUGCUUUUGUUUGGGAAUAAUCGACAUUACGUGUAAUGUUUUGCAUGUACCAUUCGAAUAAGGACCGGCUAAUUCCGUGCCAGCAGCCGCGGUAAUACGGAAGGUCCAGGCGUUAUCCGGAUUUAUUGGGUUUAAAGGGAGUGUAGGCGGUUGGUUAAGUCAGCGGUUAAAGGGUGUGGCUCAACCAUGCAUUGCCGUUGAAACUGGCGAUCUUGAGUGCAGACAGGGAUGCCGGAAUUCGUGGUGUAGCGGUGAAAUGCUUAGAUAUCACGAAGAACUCCGAUCGCGAAGGCAGGUGUCCGGGCUGCAACUGACGCUGAGGCUCGAAAGUGUGGGUAUCAAACAGG
Molecule: ribosomal RNA, 423 nt
Filed under: Verrucomicrobiota bacterium
Lineage: Bacteria; Pseudomonadati; Verrucomicrobiota
Description: Verrucomicrobia bacterium partial 16S ribosomal RNA
Rfam family: Bacterial small subunit ribosomal RNA
Source: RNAcentral